UUCCGGUUGAUCCCGCCGGAGGUUACUGCUAUUGGUGUUCGACUAAGCCAUGCAAGUCAUAUGUUCCUCGUGAACAUGGCAUACUGCUCAGUAACACGUGGAUAACCUGCCCUUGGGUCUGGGAUAACCCCGGGAAACUGGGGAUAAUACCGGAUAACGCAUAUGUGCUGGAAUGCUUUAUGCGUAAAAUGGAUUCGUCCGCCCAAGGAUGGGUCUGCGGCCUAUCAGGUAGUAGUGGGUGUAAUGUACCUACUAGCCAACAACGGGUACGGGUUGUGAGAGCAAGAGCCCGGAGAUGGAUUCUGAGACAUGAAUCCAGGCCCUACGGGGCGCAGCAGGCGCGAAAACUUUACAAUGCGGGAAACCGUGAUAAGGGAACACCGAGUGCCAGCAUCAUAUGCUGGCUGUCCAGAUGUGUAAACUACAUCUGUUAGCAAGGGCCGGGCAAGACCGGUGCCAGCCGCCGCGGUAACACCGGCGGCCCGAGUGGUGACCGUUAUUAUUGGGUCUAAAGGGUCCGUAGCCGGUUUGGUCAGUCCUCCGGGAAAUCUGAUAGCUUAACUGUUAGGCUUUCGGGGGAUACUGCCAGGCUUGGAACCGGGAGAGGUAAGAGGUACUACAGGGGUAGGAGUGAAAUCUUGUAAUCCCUGUGAGACCACCUGUGGCGAAGGCGUCUUACCAGAACGGGUUCGACGGUGAGGGACGAAAGCUGGGGGCACGAACCGGAUUAGAUACCCGGGUAGUCCCAGCCGUAAACUAUGCUCGCUAGGUGUCAGGCAUGGCGCGACCGUGUCUGGUGCCGCAGGGAAGCCGUGAAGCGAGCCACCUGGGAAGUACGGCCGCAAGGCUGAAACUUAAAGGAAUUGGCGGGGGAGCACAACAACGGGUGGAGCCUGCGGUUUAAUUGGACUCAACGCCGGGAAGCUCACCGGAUAAGACAGCAGAAUGAUUGCCGGGCUGAAGACUCUGCAUGACUAGCUGAGAGGAGGUGCAUGGCC
Molecule: ribosomal RNA, 998 nt
Filed under: uncultured archaeon
Lineage: Archaea
Description: bacterial SSU rRNA
Rfam family: Archaeal small subunit ribosomal RNA
Source: RNAcentral